Molecule: long non-coding RNA, 2732 nt
Organism: Sapajus apella (tufted capuchin)
Lineage: Eukaryota; Metazoa; Chordata; Mammalia; Primates; Cebidae
Exons: 5
Source: RefSeq, a predicted model, not a curated record
AUUCUUAUUUUUUAAAGGAGCUUGACAGUCGAUUCUGUUUCCCAGGUUUAAGGUUCCUUCAAACUGUUCAACUGAAAUUAGCAAAUGCUCACCAAGGACCCAGGUUGAGCCCCCAGUGCUUGCCAGAGAUGAUCACAGAAAAAGAAACAGAAUCUCAGAGAGGUGGAGCCAAUUGACUGAAGCCACACAGAAUAUCAGCUGGAGGCAGGAUUCUAACACGAUCCCACCUGAGUUCAGACAUGCGCACGUAAUCCCCAGCACAUACCAAGAGAAACAGACAUUCAACAUAUCAAGGGAUAGGCGUUUCUCCCCGAGCCCAGACUUGUGGGCUGUGGCUCUUGUGUCCCUUAAGACCAGUGCUUCUGGAACUGUAAUGUGCAUCGAAUCACCCCAGGAUCCUGUUAAAAUGCAGGUUAGGGUUCCUGGCUGGGCCUGAGAUUUUGCAUUCCUACAAGCUCCGAGGCGAUGCCCAUGCUUGUAGUCUGCAGACAGUACUUUGAAUGCCUGAAACUACCUCCCAGACAUGUCCCACCUUCCUGGGACUGGCCUUCUGGUUUCAGACAUGUGGGUGAUUGGCAUUGAAAUCAUUCAGUGCACAUAAGAAAUGCGCACAAAUGCAGUGCUCCAGGGAAGAAAAAACGCAUCACGGGACCCAAUAGGAAAACUGCCACGCAGCGACACCAAGCCAAGGAGAGCUUUGCUCCUGCUGCUUUCCUCAAGGAGGAGCCUGUUUCCUGCCGUAAGUGAAGUCUGGGGUGCAAGAGACCAAGCAAUGCACCUCAGACCCAGAGGAUUCACUGAGUUUGAUGCUCCCAGAGAGUCGGCUCCAUUGCCAGCAUCUCAGGAACCAGCGGGUCGUGACUUCUUUUCUUUGGUGGUAGGAUGAUGAUGUUAAUGGUAAUGAUGACAAAGAUGACUAUGAAGUAGAAGGGGAUUUGAAGAGGGAGAAGUAGAGGAAGAGAAGGAGAAGGAGCGAGAUGAGGAAACCAAGCCUCAAGGAAGUUGAGUCUCCUGUCCAAGCCUACGCAGUUGGCAAGUUGCAGAUCCGGAGUACAGUACGAGACUCUCUCAUCUGUGUCUCCAAGGGACACCGUGACCCAUCAUGGCCUCUUUCCGCUGGGUUCAGGCAUAGUCUCCGAAUUCUUCCUGUGCCAUCACCCAUGGCUCCGCAUCAACCCCACCUUUGCAGGUAGCAGGUGCUAUCUACUGCCAGCCUGAAGCCAGGCUAAGAGGAAGAAAAAGAAGGAAAUGCCUGUAGAACCAUCCUAUGUAAAGAACACUUUGAGGAAAUGGUAGGCAAAUGCAGAAAACUGCAUCCUGCUCAGUCAAGCCCUGCAGGAAACACACACACAAGCAUGUGCACACACACAAGCAUGUGCACACACACGUGGCCCUUCAAUGUCACCUCAGCUGUGGGUUAGGAGCUGCACCUGUCCGCACCAGGUGUUACAACCUUCUGCUCCACCUCUAAACAGCUGAUGGCUUGGAGGUGAGCUCUCAAAUGUCAACAGGUUUUGCAGACUCCAGUGGUCAGCGUUAUGUGAGCAGUUCAGACUUUCUACAGGGAUCUCAGGGGCCCAGGGUCACGUAGACCAGAACUUGACCUGGAGGCUGGUGUCUCCCAAACUGUUGUGUGGACCCUGCAACCGCUGGAGUGUCCUCAUCUUAACAGUCCCUGCCAUCUCCCAACAAGGGUGUCCACUGGCCCUCCUGGUUGUCCUGUGAGGAAGGCAGGAGUCACUGAUGCUGCUCUGUCAACAGGGACAGACGGAUUACAGCUGGUAAGUGACUUGCCCAGAGUUCUGCAGCUUGGGACUCACAGAGGAGAAGCUGGAAAUCAGGCAGGGUGGCAUCCAGCUCUCUGCUCCUCCUAAGCCAAGCUUUGCAGCAAGGUCCUGCUUCCCUCAUGACCUGAACUCAUUUUGAAUGUAAAGGCAAUGUCAAAGCCCCACAGCUAUUUAUAACAGAGUAUGUGUUCUUAGUUCACUCCUCAGAGAGGAAUAUUGCUAUUGUGAAUACACAGCUACUCAUAACUACCAUCUUAAAAAUCUCUACUCCAAACUAUUUACUAAUGCAUUUAGGUAUUUAUUUUCUUGUAGUGAAAGGAAAUCAAGAUAAUUCUAAAACUGUGGAAGAAAACAAACAAACAAAAAAACUAUAAAGGAGAAAACAGAAGAUUCACAUAUUGUAACCAUUAUUAAUCUCGAAAUAUUUUCCUCCAGGCUCUUGUCUGUGAUAUGCUUAUGCUGAGUGAUACUGUGCUGUGUAUAUGCGGUUUGUACUCAAUGCCAGGUCAUAAGCAUACCAUUUCCUUUUUAUUAAAAAAAUACUUGGCAUACAUCAAAGUAUGUUUGCAUUAAAACUAUGCAAACAUCAGUUUUAAUAAUUGUAUAAAUAUUCUAUCAUAAGGACAUUCCAUAAUUUAUUUAAUCACUUUGGUAGUGUUGGACAUUUAAUUUUUUAAAAAGUCAAGUAAUGCCAUGAUUAAUGCCUGCUUAUAUGAACCUGUUUUCAUUUCCUGAUUAUUUUCUUGGGCCAGAUUCCCAAAAGUGGAAUUACUGAAUAAAGUAGAUAAGUGCUUGUAACACAUUUCUUCACACACACACACACACACACACACACACACCCAUCAACAAAUUGCUUUUCCUGAAGAAGCUUCCAGUAGCGUAUUAGAGAGCCUGUUGCACCACCCCAUCCUCAGCAAUGAGAAUUUCUAAUCUUUGUUACAUUAA